Molecule: long non-coding RNA, 1040 nt
Organism: Myotis lucifugus (little brown bat)
Lineage: Eukaryota; Metazoa; Chordata; Mammalia; Chiroptera; Vespertilionidae
Exons: 2
Source: RefSeq, a predicted model, not a curated record
GUGCAAGAAAAAGCAAUUGAAGGGAGUAGGUGGGAGAGGAAGAGGAUGAGAAUGAUGUCUGGGAUCAGACUAUCAGAUAUCAUUUGUAAUAAGGUCACUAGUAAUUAUGGAGAAGAAUUUGUAAUUUGGAACAGGAUGGAGAGGAGAGAGGGGAAAAGAUGCCAGAUAUAUUUUUGGAGUUUUAAUGACAUCCUUCUUAAAGUUUAUAGUUAGUAAGUGGUGGAACAAUGAUUCUGUCUGCUUCUGAAGUUUAAGCUCCUGACCAUUCUCUUUAAAUAGCAGGAAUAUUUCUUCAAUAACUUUAAAAAGGAGUUUAAGUCCAGAAAAACAAAACACAUUAUUUUCCUUUCCUGAGAUAAAAACUAGAAGACAUUUUUUAGGAUUAAAUCUCGAAACAUUUUAAUGGGGCAAGUGUGAAUUUUUCUACCAAGGCCUAAAUUCAGCACCUGCCCCAUGAUGCAGAAUAGUGACUUCUGGCCAAUAUUUAAUUGCUGUACAUUAUCCCAAGAAUAACUCCUGUCUUUACUAGAGCUUUCAAUAAAUUUAAACUCAGAGUUGGCAGACAAAUCUUAGUGUUUACAUUCACUACAACACCUUUUCAUGAUCCUUUUGUGUCUUCUAAGAGCCAGAAUGGAGUUGCCACAUCACCAAAGCUUUUUCCCAGGCUUGGUGCUCAAUUUGAGACACAUAAUCCAUGAAUACAACUACCUCAUCUAUAAAGGAGAAGUGGGUCCAGGACCAUAUGAAGCACCUGGACCAAAAGUCUCACAGCUGGAGGAUGAGGACUCCCCCGGCCACGCAGACACCACACCAGAGUGUGGAACGUGAACAUGUAUUCUCCUCCAGCCCCCCCUGCACUAAUGGCACCGUCAUUUUCCAAUAGGGAGGCAGAGCUGUUUUGUCUUAAGUAAUGUUUAAUAUUAUUUGCAUUCUUGCUGGGUUGGGGUCUAUUUUGUAUAUUGGCCAUCUUUUUGUGUGUGUGUUUUAUUUUUUAAUUGGAGUCAUUGGGGUGACAACGGUUAAUAAAAUUAUAUAAGUUU